GUCCACGCCGUAAACGAUGUUAACUAGCUGUUCGGGUAUGAAAUAUACCGGAGUGGCGCAGCAAACGCGAUAAGUUAACCGCCUGGGGAGUACGGUAGCAAGAUUAAAACUCAAAGGAAUUGACGGGGGCCCGCACAAGCGGUGGAGCAUGUGGUUUAAUUCGAUGCAACGCGAAGAACCUUACCUGCCCUUGACAUACCAAGAAUCCUGUAGAGAUAUAGGAGUGCCGAAAGGAGCUUGGAUACAGGUGCUGCAUGGCUGUCGU
RNAcentral lists this ribosomal RNA (265 nucleotides) under uncultured bacterium. RNAcentral's name for it is "partial 16S ribosomal RNA". It matches the Rfam family "Bacterial small subunit ribosomal RNA", at positions 793 to 1055 of the family's 1533-position model. The record is from RNAcentral.